RNAcentral lists this long non-coding RNA (1031 nucleotides) under Oryza sativa Indica Group (long-grained rice). RNAcentral's name for it is "lncRNA OsMH63_04G004200". Lineage: Eukaryota; Viridiplantae; Streptophyta; Magnoliopsida; Poales; Poaceae. The record is from RNAcentral.
AUGCAUGCACACAUAUUUGGGGACAUUCAUAGGUGUAUUAAUGGUCUUGACACUUCAGCGUGUGAAGAUAGGGCCGUGGGGUGGAACUGGAGGCCAUGCUUGGGAUGAGGGAGGCCAUGGUGCCAGUGCUGGCGGUUACACCGGUGUACGCCGAAUGAGUAUAGGGUCUUCCUGGUGUGUCAGCUCAAUGUUGUUUGAAUACGACGACAAUGGCAAACGUGUGAAAGGUACCCUGCAAGGAGAGGGAGGCAAUGGAAUACCCGAGGAGCUCGACUUCCAUGGGGAGGUGUUGACGCACAUGUGCGGCUACCAUGACAACCACCUCAUCCGGUGGUUGCAGUUCAGGAGCAACCGGAACAGGACGUUCGGACCAUACGGCAAUCUUGGAGAAGACAAAGCUGGAUGGACGCGGUUCGAGGUCUCCAUGGAGCACUCGGGGUCCAUCGUCGGCUUCUGCGGCCGGAGUGGCAACUUCACGGACUCCAUCGGCGUUUACGUCGCCGUCUGGAAUCCCGAGAGGUUCUAUGAUAGCAUGCGCAGGCAGGGCGUCCGCGUUUACCGGGCGUCGCCUCUGCGCAUGGACCUGCGUCAAAUAGAAGAAGAGAAAAAGAAGGAAGAAGUGGAACGUGGGCGCCUACAGAAGGAGAUCAAGGAGGGGCGAGAAAGUCUUCGGAAGUUACGAUUGAAGCUUGGAGUGGAUGUGCCGCAGCAGGAUCAGGAAAUCGUGCAGCAACUGGAACGCGGGCGUCAGGGAAAACGCCAGACAAUAGAGGAGCUGCAAGUGGAGCAUGAGCAACUGGAACGGGAACGAGGGCGCUUGCUUCUACUGCUGCAAGUGGAGCAUGAGCAACUGGAACGGAAACAAGGGCGCUUGCUUCUACUGCAGAAACACCUAGGGGAGGAGUUACGCCAGUGGGAGAACGGGCUUUACCGAUAUUUUGGUAGGAGCAGUCCCGGUUAUUUUUUUUUCUCAAAUAAAUAUCCCCAAUCAUAUUCCCAAAUCAUCCCCAAAUUAAAGUAGCAUCACAUAU